Molecule: long non-coding RNA, 594 nt
Filed under: Salmo salar (Atlantic salmon)
Lineage: Eukaryota; Metazoa; Chordata; Actinopteri; Salmoniformes; Salmonidae
Description: lncRNA (ENSSSAG00000111704.1, ENSSSAG00075038119.1)
Source: RNAcentral
CAGACCUUUGCAUAAUUAAUACAAUACAUUCCUACUGUUCCUUUCUUACGGAUAACGGGCCCGGCUAUAGGGUUGUCACUGAACCCCAACCGCCGUCUGUGUCCAACUCCCCAGCGUCAAGACUCGCCCUCCUGGUUUUGACGCUUGCGUGUCCUGAUGCCGAAUCUGCCUGCCUGACCACUCUGCCUGUUCUGACCUCGAGCUUGCCUAUCCCCUUGUACUGUUUGGACUCGGACCUGUUCACUGAACCCCUGCCUGUCCUGACCUCGAGCCUGCCUAUCCCCUGGUACUGUUUGGACUCUGACCUGGUUUAUGAACGCUCGCCUGUCCCCGACCUGCCUUUUGCCUACCCCUUUUGGUGUAAUAAAUAUCGGAGCUCAACCAUCUGCCUCCUGUGUCUGCAUUUGGGUCUCGCCUUGUGCCCUUAUAGUACGAACUGGCCAUGACAGACCCAGCAGACUGGGACCAGCUCCGUCACGCUGUCUCCCUGCAGGAAGCCACCAUUGGGAGGCAUGAGGAGCUACUCCUGGACCUUUUGGAAGGGCUUCGUUCCCUGACGGAACGCCACGACCAAGGGUUCAAGGCUAUAAUGGA